UCAAGUUAGCGGCGGACGGGUGAGUAACACGUGGGCAACCUGCCCUGCAGAUUGGGAUAACUCCGGGAAACCGGGGCUAAUACCGAAUAAUAUAGAGAGCUUCAUGGCUUUCUUUUGAAAGGCGGCUUCGGCUGUCACUGCAGGAUGGGCCCGCGGCGCAUUAGCUAGUUGGUGAGGUAACGGCUCACCAAGGCGACGAUGCGUAGCCGACCUGAGAGGGUGAUCGGCCACACUGGGACUGAGACACGGCCCAGACUCCUACGGGAGGCAGCAGUAGGGAAUCUUCCGCAAUGGACGAAAGUCUGACGGAGCAACGCCGCGUGAGUGAAGAAGGUUUUCGGAUCGUAAAACUCUGUUGUCAGGGAAGAACAAGUAUGGGAGUAACUGCCCGUACCUUGACGGUACCUGGCCAGAAAGCCACGGCUAACUACGUGCCAGCAGCCGCGGUAAUACGUAGGUGGCAAGCGUUGUCCGGAAUUAUUGGGCGUAAAGCGCGCGCAGGCGGCCUUUUAAGUCUGAUGUGAAAGCCCCCGGCUCAACCGGGGAGGGUCAUUGGAAACUGGAAGGCUUGAGUGCAGAAGAGAAGAGCGGAAUUCCACGUGUAGCGGUGAAAUGCGUAGAGAUGUGGAGGAACACCAGUGGCGAAGGCGGCUCUUUGGUCUGUAACUGACGCUGAGGCGCGAAAGCGUGGGGAGCGAACAGGAUUAGAUACCCUGGUAGUCCACGCCGUAAACGAUGAGUGCUAAGUGUUGGGGGG
RNAcentral lists this ribosomal RNA (757 nucleotides) under Domibacillus sp. RNAcentral describes it as "bacterial SSU rRNA". It matches the Rfam family "Bacterial small subunit ribosomal RNA", at positions 87 to 830 of the family's 1533-position model. Lineage: Bacteria; Bacillati; Bacillota; Bacilli; Caryophanales; Bacillaceae. The record is from RNAcentral.